This is a long non-coding RNA of Leptopilina heterotoma, 442 nucleotides long. RefSeq lists it as uncharacterized. NCBI's taxonomy places the organism in Eukaryota, Metazoa, Arthropoda, Insecta, Hymenoptera, Figitidae. The transcript has 3 exons. The record is from RefSeq and is a predicted model, not a curated record.
GUCUUCAGGUGAAUUCUGCAGGUCCUGCAAUCGCAGUGUACCUUGCAGAGCACCUAGAGCCUCUUCAUUUUGAUUGUCAGCUAAACCAUCGUCACCGGCAAGAACACCCAGUGUUCCUGAACAAAGGCCAGAAGUCAGACGGAGAAAGUCACUUAUUAUAGUGUCUGACUAAUGCAACACUUUACUACUGCGAUCUGGGACAAUUUUCUCAAUUCAAUCGAGAGUUUCAAUAAAAUAUAUACACAGAAGAAAAAUACAAUCAACAACUACAAGAAAAACAAAUAAGGGGAGAAAAUUGCGUGAGAUUUGAGGGAGAAAAAAAUAUUAUGGAAAACAUACCUGUGCCAAGAGUGUACGGUGACUCGGUGGUAUUGGCCGAAUGAUGGUUCUGCAGAAACUCCAUCUCUGCAAAUUUUCCACCGACAAGUCUCCCUUUAGAAAC